Molecule: long non-coding RNA, 2020 nt
Organism: Monodelphis domestica (gray short-tailed opossum)
Lineage: Eukaryota; Metazoa; Chordata; Mammalia; Didelphimorphia; Didelphidae
Source: RefSeq, a predicted model, not a curated record
UGACCCCAUUGCUCCAAGAUGAUACUUUCUUUUUACAAAUAAAAUGCUUCUUCAUAAUCAGUCAACAAUAUGCCCAAUGGGACCUUAUAUUUUCUAUGCUUCAUUUAAUUGUGAGAUAGUAAAAAUAUAGUCAUAUGUUAAAUAUAAUACGUGAAAGUCUAUGUACAUAUAUAUACACACACAAAAACAGAUAUGUGAUUAUAUCUAUAUAAUGCCCACAUACAUGUCUUCUAUGUAUUUUUGCCUCAUAUAUUUUGCAUGGGGGGGAGGGACUAUGCUGAAGGCAUUACAAAUGUAAAUGCUUUGAGAGAUACAAAUACACACACAGAGAUUAGUGUGUGUGUUUUAUUUGGUCCAUUCUAACUUACUCUUUGUCUUUGUGUUCAUUUGUGCCAACUCUACAUCCUCUUGGAGCCAAUAAUGUUAGAGUUCAAGUGUGGUAGUUAUCCUAUCCUUGAUGGAGAAAACAAUUUGGUGAAAUGACUUUUGCAAAGAUUUUCCCUUUUCCUUAUUUGUUUUUCUAUUUUCAUCCUUGAAUGCCCCUCGGAUGCCUUUGCUUUUAUGGAUAUUUUGUCAUUUUUUUCUACAAACUGGAUUUUAUUCUUCACUGAUCCUCUCUGCUUUGUGAGUGUUGUUUAUAAUUGUAAUUUUAUGGAUCAGUUUCUGAUGUUGCUUCUGGUAGCUAUUUCUCUUCAUUUUACAAGGAAGCUGGCUAUUUACUGACUAAAAUGUUUUCUGAGAUUCUUUUAUCUCCUUUUUUGGAUUUUAGGUGUGGCAAUUACUUUGUAUUAGUUAUACUUUAAGAUGAAAUUAUUAUGGCUUCUUUCAUUUUUAUUUCCUAUUAUAGUUUUGAUUUUCAAAAACUUGUUUAAUUCUCUGUGUGUACUCAGGCCAUCAAUUUAUCAGAGCUAAUAUCAAAUUUUGUCUUAAAAAAAGAGAAAAAGAGAAAUAGAAUUAGAAAAAAAUAGCGUAUAAUGAAAACCAUUUAAAUGUAACAUUUAAACAACACAUAGCUAGCUAGUAGGAAAAGGAACAAAUUUGUGAAGAUAGGAUUAACUCUCCUCUUGCCUAUUUUUAGCUAAUCAAAUUACCCCUACUUGACACUAAGAGAGGUAGCAAGUCACUUGCUAGAGUAGGUAGCAACUCUAGAGGCCACUGUCCUGCCCCUAGGCAGUGCUAGGCAAAUUGAAAGAUUGUGAUUGGUUCCCAUAAAGUAGGGAAGGGACAGGAAGGGAUAUAGAAAAAGGGUUAUAAAAAAUUCCGAACUUCCUGUCCAAGGUGGCUUCUCCUUUGGAGUUCGUCUUUGGACACUCUGCAUCAGUGAGCUGUACUGAAGGAAGAGACUCUUUCCCUGCAUCCUGCAUCAGCUUGCUGUGACAUCAUUAUAUCCUCUUUCAUCUGCUGUACCCUGUACCUAUGUGACUUCAUCGGGAGAAAGGAGUUUGAGCAUUACAUUACAGAAUGCAAUGUCUGCUCCAUUGUCAAUUGCAUGUGAUGACUUACAAGGGCUCAUAUAAGGCCUCAGACAUUAAAAUUCACAAGAAAGGUAAAAAGUAUCACUUGUAAGUUACAUGAAGAAACACCAGAUCCAUUUGCAGGAGAUAAUGGACUUAUUCCUCUUCUCAUUAUACCUGACUUCUAUGUCUUCAUCAAGGAGUCUAAUUUAAGUCACAGUAUUGCUACCAACUCCAUCAGAGUCUUAUUAAGUGCAGAAAAAAAGUUAAAACACAGAAUGAUAUGGUGAUAGAAUGUGAGAAGGGAAAUAAGGAAAAAAGCAGGGGACAGAGGAAAUGAGGAGGCUAAUGCCAAAACUCUUCUGUAAUCCUCACCAGAACAAGAUUACCCUUCCAUCAACAUGUGUCUCACACAUGUUCCAAGAGUUUUGUGAGCUUGGAAUCUUUUGAACUUGAUAAUUAUUCAUCAUGACAUAUGCCAUAUUGUAAGCAAAAACUCUAGGGUUCCUCCUUGAAAACAGGAGCUUUCACAGGUGUUUAUCAUACAGGAUUAAAAUUAUACAAAA